Leucoraja erinaceus (little skate) is the source of this 6006-nucleotide long non-coding RNA. RefSeq lists it as uncharacterized. The transcript has 2 exons. Lineage: Eukaryota; Metazoa; Chordata; Chondrichthyes; Rajiformes; Rajidae. The record is from RefSeq and is a predicted model, not a curated record.
CAAGGGGUCACAGUUUAAGGAUAAGGGGGAAGUCUUUUAGGACAGAGAUGAGAAUUUAUUUUUUCACACAGAGAGUGGUGAAUCUGGAAUUCUCUGCCACAGAAGGUAGUUGAGGCCAGUUCAUUGGCUAUAUUUAAGAUGGAGUUAGAUGUGGCCCUUUUGGCUAAAGGGAUCAGGGGGGUAUGGAGAGAAGGCAGGUACAGGAUACUGAUUUGGAUGAUCAGCCAUGAUCAUAUUGAAUGGUGGUGCAGGCUCGAAGGGCCGAAUGGCCUACUCCUGCAUCUAUUUUCUAUGUUUCUCCCCAUUCGCCCCCCUUCUCUGGCUGGUCUAGGAUGUUUUCGGUGAUGGGUGAAUUUGGGAGGUGACCAAGGGCGGGUUGGAAUGGGUCGGACUGAUGGUGUUGCCUCUGCUCCUCCCGCUCCAGCUGCAUCCCCUCCCUCUCAUCCCUGGCUUUUCUGGACCUUUCCCAAAAUCCCGGCAUCGGCUCACCGGGACUGCAGCUGCUCCUGGAGGCCUUGGAGAAGCGGGAUUCCAGCCUGCAAGUCCUGGAUCUGUCAGGGUGCUCCGUCAAUCAGCAGGACUCUGGUAAGGAGGGGACGAUGCGCUGGUAUCUCCGCGAUCUCCGCCUGUGACUCCGAGCAACGGGGACGUUUGUGGGUGAGACUGGGGCCGGUGGGACUGUCCAGUGGAGACUGCUGGUGCCCUACUGACAGCGUCCCCAGCCAGCCUGCGGCCUGUUACGUCAGACAGGAGCAGUACAUCACCUGUCCAUACCCGAUGACAAGCUAAACUCAUCUCCUCUGCCUGCAUGUGAUCUGUAUCCCUCCAUUCCCUACAAAUCCACGUCUGUCUAAAAGUUUCCCCAUCCACUGAUUUUUAAGAGGUGUUUACAGUCACGAGGGUCAUACAGAGAGAUAGUGCAUCUUUUACCCAGGCUAAGGGAAUCAGGAACUGGGCCGGAAUUUAUGAGCUUAGAUGGCCUAGAUUGAAGGUGAGAGGAGGAAGAUUUAAUAGGAACCUGAGGGGCAGCUUUUUCACACAGAGGGUGGUGGGCUGCCAGAGGAAAGGUCUGUGCCCUUUUACCCAUUCAUAUCUCCAGUUUUCCUGAGUCUGAGGAAGGGACUUGACCUGAAACACCAUCCAUUCCUUCUCUCCAGAGAUGCUGCCUUGUCCUAAUAACCAUAUAACAAUUACAGCACGGAAACAGGCCAUCUCGGCCCUACAAGUCCGUGCCGAACAACUUUUUUCCCCUUAGUCCCACCUGCCUACACUCAUACCAUAACCCUCCAUUCCCUUCUCAUCCAUAUGCCUAUCCAAUUUAUUUUUAAAUGAUACCAAUGAACCUGCCUCCACCACUUCCACUGGGAGCUCAUUCCACACCUCUACCACUCUCUGAGUAAAGAAGUUCCCCCUCAUAUUACCCCUAAACUUCUGUCCCUUAAUUCUGAAGUCAUGUCCACUUGUUUGAAUCUUCCCUAUUCUCAAAGGGAAAAGCUUGUCCACAUCAACUCUGUCUAUCCCUCUCAUCAUUUCCCUCUAUCAAGUCCCCCCUUAACCUUCUGCGCUCCAGAGAAUAAAGACCUAACUUAUUCAACCUUUUUCUGUAACUUAGUUGUUGAAACCCAGGCAACAUUCUAGUAAAUCUCCUCUGUACUCUCUCUAUUUUGUUGACAUCCUUCCUAUAAUUGGACGACCAAAAUUGUACACCGUACUCCAGAUUUGGUCUCACCAAUGCCUUGUACAAUUUUAACAUUACAUCCCAGCUUCUAUACUCAAUGCUCUGAUUUAUAAAGGCUAGCACACCAAAAGCUUCCUUUACCACCCUAUCUAUAUGAGAUUACACCUUCAAGGAACUGUUGAGUCCUGUUGAGUUACUCCAGCAUUUUGUAUCCAUCUUUUGUGCAAACCAGCAUCUGUGGUUCCUUCCUAUACAUUUCAUCUGGUGCACUGCAAAAUCCUCUUUAGGUGUGCCUACUGCACCCCCUUUGUCCCCACGCUCCUCCUCUCUCUGGCGAGAGUUCUGUAACACCCUCUCUCGCUGCUCCCCCUCUGUGAUUCCUCCUGCUCUACAAUCUUUGUGCCCAUCCAUACCUCCAGCUUCACUCUCCCCUGAUGCUCAGUCUGAGGAUGGGUCUUGACCUGAAACACCACCCAUUCCUUCUCUCCAGAAAUGCUGCCUGUCCCGCUGAGUUACGCCAGCAUUUUGUGUCUACCAUCGGUUUAAAACAGCAUCUCCAGCUCCUGCCUACACAAGUAAAAUGUGCAGGAAUAAUACAGCACAGGAACAGGCCCUCAGGUCACUAUGUCUGUGCCAAACAUGAUGCUGAGUUAAAUUAAUCUCCUCUGCCUGCACGUGAUCCAUAUUCCACCAUUCCCUACAUAUCAAUGUGUCUAUCUUAAAGCCUUAUAAGAUUAUGCCAUUAAAGAUUAUAAGCAAAAUAGAUAGAAUGAAUGCAUAAAGCCUCUUAAACACCGCUAUCUUAUCUACCUCCACUACCUCCACCGGCAGUGUGUUCCAGGCACACACCAUCUUCUGAGUAAAUCAAAACCAAUUUGGUCCACGUCUCUUUUAAGCCUCCACCCCUUAUCAGAAUGGGAGGGGGAGUUGAAGUGCUGAGCCACAGGGAGAUCAGGUUGGUUAUUGCGGACCGAGCGGAGGUGUUCGGCGAAACGAUUGCCAAGCCUACGCUUGGUCUCACCGAUGUAGAUCAGCUGACAUCUAGAGCAGGGGAUGCAAUAGAUGAGGUUGGAUGAGAUGCAGGGGAACCUUUGUCGCACCUGGAAUAACUGCUUGGGUCCUUGAAUGGAGUCGAGGGGGGAGAUAAAGCGACAAGUGUAGCAUCUCCUGCGGUUGCAAGGGAAAGUGCCCGGGGAGGGGGUAGUACGGGAGGGAAGGGAAGAAUUGACAAGGGAGUUACGGAGGGAGCGGUCUUUGUGGAAGGCAGACAUGGGGGGAGAUGGGAAGAUGUGGCGAGUGGAGGUGGCGAAACUGAUGGAGGACUAUUUGUUGUAUGUGACGGCUAGUGGGGUGAAAGGUGAGGACUAGGGUGACUGCCCUUGUUGCGAGUGGGGGCAUGGAGCGAGGGCAGUGUUACGGGGUAUGGAAGAGACCCUGGUGCGAGCCUCGUCUAUAGGAGGUGGAGGGGAACCCCCGUUCCCUGAAGAAUGAGGACAUUUCCGAUGCCCUGGUGUGGAACACCUCUUCCUGGGAGCAGAUGUGGCGUAGACGGAUGAAUUGAGUGUUGGGGAUGGAGUCCUUACAGGAAGCAGGGUGGGAGGAAGUGUAGUCUAGAUAGCCAUGGGAGUCAGUGGGUUUAUAGUGGAUGUCGGUCAGAAGUCUAUCACCUGCGAUGGAGAUAGUGAGGUCAAGAAAUGGUAGGGCAGUGUCGGGAAUGGUCCAGGUGUAUUUUGAGUGCCGGAUGGAAGUUAGUGGGGAAGUUAAUGAUGUCAGUGAGUUGUGUGUGGGCGCUGGAGGUAGCACCAAUGCAAUCGUCGAUGUAGCGUAGGUAGAGUUCGGGGAUGGGGCCCUGGUACAUCUCGAACAAGGAUUGUUCAACGUACCGUACAAAGAGGCAGGCAUAGCUGGGGCCCAUGCGCGUGCCCAUAGCUACGCCUUGUAUUUGGAGGAAAUGGGAAGAGUCGAACGAAAAGUAAGAAAACUCAAUAGGAAGAAUAUCCUUCCUCAAAUUAGGAGACUAAAAUUGCACACAAUACUCCAGGUGUGGUCUCACCAGGGCCCUGAACAACUGCAGAAGGACAUCUUUGCUCCAUUACUCAACUACUUUUGUUUUGAAGGCCAUUAGCUUUCUUCACUGCCUGUUGUACCAGCAUGCUUAUUUUCAGUGACUGCUGUGAUGUACAAGGACACCCAUGUCUUGUUGUACUUCCCCUUUUCCUAAUCUGACACCAUUCAGAUGAUCUGCCUUCCCAUUCUUGCCACCAAAGUGGAUAACCAAAUUCACAUUUAUCCACAAUAUACUGCAUCUGCUAUGCAUCUGCCCACUCACCCAACCUGUCCAAAUCACCCUGCAUCCUCAUAGCAUACUCUUCACAGUGCACACUUCCUCCCAGCUUUGUGUCAUCUGCAAAUUUGCUAAUGUCACUUUGAAUCCUUUCAUCUAAAUCAUUAAUGUAUAUUGUAAAUAGCUGCAGUCCCAGCACCGAGCCUUGCGGUACCCCACUACUCACUGCCUGCCAUUCUGAAAGGGACCCGUUAAUCCCUACUCUUUGUUUCCUGUCUGCCAACCAAUUUUCUAUCCUUGUCAAUACCCUACCCCCAAUACCAUGUGCUCUAAUUUUGCCCACUAAUCAGUGUGGGACCUUAUCAAAUGCUUUCUGAAAGUCCAGGUAUACUACAUCCACUGACUCUUCCUUGUCCAUUUUACUUGUUACACCUUCAAAACAUUCCAGAAGAUUUGUCAAGCCUUCGUAAAUCCAUGCUGACACGGACCGAUCCUGUUACUGCUAUCCAAAUGGGCCGCUAUUACAUCUUUGGUAAUCGACUCCAGCAUCUUCCCCACCACCGAUGUCAGGCUAACUGGUCUCUCUCCCUCCUUUCUUGAAACGUGAGAUAACAUUAGCUACCCUCCAAUCCACAGGAACUGAUCCAGAAUCUACAGAACAUUUGAAAAUGAUCACCAAUGCAUCCACAAUUUGUACAGCCACUUCCUUAAGUAUCCUGGGAUGCAGACCAUCAGGCCCUGGGGAUUUAUCAGCUCCAGUCCCAUCAGUCCACCCAACACCUAUUCCUGACUAAUGUGAAUGCCCUUCAGUUCCUCCAUCACCCUAGGUCCUUUGUUCCCUAGUACAUCUGGGAGAUUAUUUGUGUCUUCCUUAGUGAAGACAGAACCAAAGUACCUGUUCAACUGCUCUGCCAUUUCCUUGUUCCCCAUAAUAAUUUCACCUGUUUCUGCCUUCAUGGGACCCAUAUUUAUCUUAUCAAUUUUUUUCCUCUUCACAUACCUAAAGAAGCUUUCACCAUCCUCCUUUAUAUUCUAGGCUAGCUUACCUUCGUAAUUCAUAUUUUCUCCCCCAAUGGCGUUAUUAGCGACCUUCUGUUGUUCUUAAAAGUAACCUAAUCCUCCGGCUUCCCUCUCAUCUUUGCUAUGUUAUACUUCUUCUAUCUUAUUUUUAUACUGUUCUUGAGUUCCCUUGUCACCUCUAACUCCCCUUAGAAUAUUUCUUCCUCCAUGGAAUGAAAUGAUCCUGCAUCUUCUGGAUUAGUCCCAGAAAUGCCUGCCAUUGUGUUCCAUUGUCAUCCCUGCUAUGGUCCCUUUCCAGUGAACUUUGGCCAGCUCCUCCCUCAUGCCUCCAUAGUCCCCUUUGUUCAACUGGAAUACAGAUACAUCCGAUUUUACCUUCUCCCUCUCAAAUUGCAGUAGGCUGGGUCUCUAUUCCAUGGAGCGCAGGAGGAUGAGGGGAAAUCUUAAAGAAGUAUACAAAGUCAUGAGGGAAAUAGAUCGGGUCGAUGCACAGUCUUUGGCCCAGAGUCGGGGAAUCGAGGACCAGAGAACAUGGGUUCAAGGUGAAAUGGAAAGGAUUUAAUUGGGAUCCGAGGGGUAACUUGUUCACACAAAGGGUGAUGGGUGUAUGGAACAAGCUGCCAGAGGAGCUAGUUGAGGCUGGGACUAUCCCAUCGUUUAAGAAACAGUUACACAGGUACAUGGGUCGGACAGUUUUGGAGGGAUAUGGACCAAGCACAGGCAAGUAAGACUAGUAUAGCUGGGACAUUGUUGGCCGGUGUGGGCGAGUUGGGCCGAAGGGCCUGUUUCCACAUUAUCCCUCUAUGACAUCAGCUAUACCGUCAACACCAAAGCAGCCCUCGCUUACAACGGGAUCUUGGUUUACACUGGCUAGGCUUCAGCACCACACCUUGCAGGCGGGGAAAACUUGGCGCAGCCUAUGGUUAAUGUGUUACUUAUUCACAAUCUAGAUAUAACUCCCAGACACUCCAUGGGACAGCAUUUAUAUGUACAGCAUUUUGUAAAUAAAGUCUUGAAGUCACCA